RNAcentral lists this ribosomal RNA (269 nucleotides) under uncultured bacterium. RNAcentral's name for it is "partial 16S ribosomal RNA". It matches the Rfam family "Bacterial small subunit ribosomal RNA", at positions 333 to 599 of the family's 1533-position model. The record is from RNAcentral.
GUAGUCCUACGGGGCGCAGCAGUGAGGAAUAUUGGUCAAUGGGCGGGAGCCUGAACCAGCCACGUCGCGUGAAGGAAGAAGGUUCUUAGUAUUGUAACCUUCUUUUGUCGGGGAACAAAGGCGGAGACGCGUCUCCGGAUGAGUGUACCCGAAGAAAAAGCAUCGGCUAACUCCGUGCCAGCAGCCGCGGUAAUACGGAGGAUGCGAGCGUUAUCCGGCUUUAUUGGGUUUAAAGGGUCCGCAGGCGGGGGGUCAAGUCAGCCGGAAAA